CUUUCCACCUGAAGAUGAAGCCAAGUUCGAACAGGGCUUGAAAGAUUUGAAACUAGCUGAACGAGAAGCUCGUAGAGAAUUCAGACAACAGAUGUAUGCUAGGCUUGCCAAAGAGAAGCAAACUGACGAAGAAAGAAGCUAUGUUAGUUUCGUCUUGGCAAGUGCUGAUGAUUAUCCUGAUAAGAUGGUGGCAAACUAUUGACGCCUUAUUGUUAGGCUUACCAUGUUGGGCACAUAUUUUGUUGGUGCUGCCUCAUUUGGAAGUUGCAGUCUUCGUCUCUAUUGAUUCAAUUUUUGUGAUUGGAUAAAGCUGCCAUGACU
RNAcentral lists this long non-coding RNA (321 nucleotides) under Ricinus communis (castor bean). RNAcentral's name for it is "long non-coding RNA (RCOM_LNC002208)". Lineage: Eukaryota; Viridiplantae; Streptophyta; Magnoliopsida; Malpighiales; Euphorbiaceae. The record is from RNAcentral.